AGAUAUUGUUCCAUUGUCGGUCCGUCGUGAAAGCCGAGGGUGUUGCAUGCCAUAACGAGAAAAGCCCGUGCUUAUGCUCUUCUGACUGGCAGAAUAUGGUAAUUGAUCAGUUUUGGUAACAUUGUGGUGACUGCACAGCCGGUUAGAUAUACCACAGAUCCUUUCAUAUUCGAUAUGCCAUCAUGGUGGGGGAAGUCUUCCUCAAAAGAUGCAAAGAAAACCACCAAAGAGAACCUCAUGGAUACAUUUCAUCGGUUUAUAAGUCCAAAUGAGCAAAAAGGAAGCACAAAAUCAAAACGGAGGUACAGACGUGGCGAUGAUACAACUGUUGAAAAGGUCUGCCAGUCUACCACAGUAUCGCGCGCAACUUCACCCUCAAAAGAAGUUUCUCGCUGUCAAAGCUUUUCAGCUGAUAGGGUACAUUCCCAACCGCUUCCUGUUCCUGGAUCACGUCCUGCAGUGACACGCACUGCUUCUGAUGUCACCGAAUCAAGGCCCAUAUUAGAAAAACGUGGCAAACCACCACUGCUUCUGCCACUUCCUAAACCUAACAGGCCUCAGAGAAGGUCAGAAAUAGUGAUUGCUUCACUUUCUAGCAACUGCUCUGUUGAUAGUGAUGACCAUGGAGAUUCUCAGCUUCCGAGCCCUGUUGGAAAUGAUGCUGAAAACACAACAAAUACUACUUCCAAGAGCAAGUCAAGUAAUGUGCGCAAAGAGCGUCCUGGUGCUAUCACCACCAAGAAUACGAAGGAGAUGGCAAAGACAGCUAAUCAAUUCCUCAGUAACCAUACAUUGUCCACAUCACCGAGAGGUAUUGCAGCUGACAAUCACCAACCUAAUCCACAAAAUCCUCGGCCGGUAGUCUUGGAGAGUGCUCCAAAUAGUUUGAUGUCAAGUCCUUCUAGAAGUCCGAGAAGAAUAUGUCCAGACCAUAUUCCAACUUCAGCCUUUUGGGCAGUGAAGCCUCAUACAGAUGUUACUUUCCUUGGCUCUGGUCAGUGCUCCAGUCCAGGUUCAGGGCAAACAUCUGGCCAUAACUCUGUGGGUGGUGAUAUGCUAGCCCAGCUUUUCUGGCAGCCCAGCAGAGGUAGUCCAGAGUGUUCACCGAUUCCUAGCCCAAGAAUGACAAGUCCUGGCCCUAGUUCCAGGGUGCACAGUGGAAGUGUUUCUCCAUUGCAUCCGAGGUCUGGAGGGAUGGCACCUGAAUCUCCGACAGGUCGGAAUGAUGGUGGGAAGAAGAAGCAAACCCACAGAUUGCCUCUUCCACCACUGAGCAUCUCUAAUAGUUCAUUUUUUCCAAACAAGUCCACGCCAGCUAGUCCUAUUUCAGCGCCUCGUAGUCCUGGCCGAACAGAGAAUCCACCAAGUCCUGGAUCACGAUGGAAGAAGGGGAAGCUGAUUGGUCGUGGAACAUUUGGCCAUGUAUAUGUUGGCUUUAACAGUGAUAGCGGUGAAAUGUGUGCUAUGAAAGAGGUGACCCUAUUCUCGGAUGAUCCUAAAUCAAAGGAAAGUGCAAAGCAGUUGGGGCAGGAAAUAUCGCUCUUGAGCCGCUUACAACACCCAAAUAUCGUACGAUACUAUGGCACAGAAACGGUUGAUGACAAACUGUAUAUAUACUUGGAGUUUGUGUCUGGUGGAUCUAUCCAUAAACUUCUACAAGAGUAUGGACAGCUUGGUGAACCAGCAAUACGCAGCUACACUCAGCAGAUACUCUCAGGCUUAGCUUAUUUGCAUGCGAAGAAUACAGUCCAUAGGGAUAUCAAAGGUGCAAACAUACUAGUAGAUCCUAGCGGUCGUGUUAAGCUUGCAGACUUUGGAAUGGCUAAACAUAUCAAUGGGCAGCAAUGUCCUUUCUCAUUUAAGGGUAGUCCAUAUUGGAUGGCUCCAGAGGUUAUAAAGAGUUCGAAUGGUGGUUGCAAUCUUGCGGUUGACAUAUGGAGUUUAGGAUGCACUGUCCUGGAGAUGGCUACCGCAAAACCCCCAUGGAGCCAGUACGAAGGGAUUGCUGCAAUGUUCAAGAUUGGAAAUAGCAAGGAACUUCCACCAAUACCAGAUCACCUAUCAGAGCAGUGCAAGGACUUCAUCAGAAAGUGUCUGCAGCGUGAUCCUUCUCAACGGCCGACAGCAAUGGAGCUUUUGCAACACCCGUUCAUACAAUAUAAAGUCCGACUUGAGAAAUCCGUUAUGUCUGAUCCUUUGGAACAUUUGCCCGUGAUAUCUUGUAGACCGAAUUCUAAGGUGGCUGGACAUACAACAAAUAUCUCGUCAUUGGGAUUGGAGGGUCAGACAAUUUACCAGAGGAGGGGUGCAAAAUAUUCUUCGAAGCAUAGCGAUAUCCAUAUACGGAGCAAUAUAUCCUGUCCAGUUUCUCCAUGUGGAAGUCCUCUGCUAAGGUCAAGGUCUCCCCAACAUACAAAUGGCCGAAUGUCACCAUCUCCAAUUUCAAGCCCCAGAACCCUUUCAGGCGCUUCUACUCCCCUGUCUGGUGGUAAUGGUGCUAUUCCCUUUAAUCAUUCAAAGCAACCAACCUACAACAAUGAAGAUUUGCAAUCGCAUCAAGAGGCCCAGAUGAUCACUUCCCCAACCGGCCUACAGAUCGUAACCUUGGGCAGUUUGGUCGAGUGCAUCAAGUCUCACAGGGGAAUCAGGAGAGGAUAGUAUCUGAAGCUAACAUUCUGAGCCCUCAAUUUGGAAAGAGGCUUGGAAACGUUUUUGAUUUGCGUGAUAGACUGUCCCCUUCUGAACAUUUCACUCGUCCUGCCUUGGUGGAUCAUGUGAAGCCAAAUCCUUCACUAGACUUAACAACUGGUUCUCCCCACCAUGGACUCAAGCGUGAUAACUAACUAUCAAGGAUAGGCCAAGCGAAUUUUUUUGGAGCUUGGCAGGGUAACUAAGUGGUUUUCAGCUGCUUUGGCCAGUCAGUGGCUUGAAUUGUAUCAUAAUAUAAUAUGACUAUGGGAAAUAUCAUUGAUUUAUUUUGAAGCUAACAACUGUAGAUGGAUGGAGUCUUUGUUGUCAUCCCCACAGAUAGACAAAGGCCAUCCAUCCAUCCAUCCAUCCCUGUUAGGCGGAACAACUGGGUGUUUGCAUACUACUACUACUGGCGUGCUAACAACAUGCGUCGAAAUGACAAGACUGUAUACUAGGAGACUGAAGAAGCCAGAGCAGUUGGCCACCUCCCUGCCUCUACAUGUUAAUUGCCCUUCUUGGCGUCCUGAUGCCAUUUGUACAGAAGUAAUCUCAAGUAAAAGCCAACCAAUAUUUUGCACAGGAGAAACAGUUGAGCCAAAUUCUUUUAACAGCUACCCGAGGUUGUGAAGCGACGGCUGCAAGUUACCAUGGAAACUCGUACAAAGAGCAUGGUCCCUAAUUAAAUUAGCUCUCCCGAUAUGUAUAAUUUCUCAUUCAGAUGUACCAUGCCCGUCCAGUUGUUCAUAUUGAAUCGGUAUAUAUACAACUUGUCUGCGUUACUGCCGGUAGCCGUAUGUAUUCCUCCAAGUUCCAUAUGCAUUCUGCCUGCAUGUUGCCAUGUAGUGAGCCACACCAACCGCAUCAAUUCACCCGUAUGCCGUGCGAAAGGUGGUGCGCUGGGUUGGGUGCUUGCAUCGUUGCGUCUGCUUGUCGCCAGGAUUCGGUGUGCUCCUAGUCAGCUCAGUUUGGCAGUAUGCAACUAUGCAUUAUUAUGUCUUGGCAUGCCAUCCGUCCAUGUCCAGUUGCCUCCCUCGCACGGUAACAAAGGCCACCGUCUGUCCUGGCGAUCUACCGUUGCUCAGAUCGGCCCGACAGCGUCAGCACCUUUCGAGCUGGCGUGGUGUCCAUCAGGGCUCAUAGAGGUGAGCGCCGAGUUUUCACCAUCGCCAGUCUGUCUGGUGUUUCUAAAAAAAAAGUACAGACCGGUAAACUUGCUGUUUUGACUUUUUUGGUUUUUGCGAAGGGUCUAUCUAGGACACAUCUAGAUGUAACAUAGUUAUGUCAUAUCUAACCUGAUCUUCACUAUGUUUGUGGUCUAUUUUUUU
RNAcentral lists this ribosomal RNA (4016 nucleotides) under Triticum aestivum (bread wheat). RNAcentral's name for it is "partial small subunit ribosomal RNA". Lineage: Eukaryota; Viridiplantae; Streptophyta; Magnoliopsida; Poales; Poaceae. The record is from RNAcentral.